RNAcentral lists this ribosomal RNA (254 nucleotides) under uncultured bacterium. Its description in RNAcentral is "partial 16S ribosomal RNA". It matches the Rfam family "Bacterial small subunit ribosomal RNA", at positions 524 to 776 of the family's 1533-position model. The record is from RNAcentral.
UACGGGGGGAGCAAGCGUUGUUCGGAUUUACUGGGCGUAAAGGGCGCGUAGGCGGCCACCGCAAGUCGACUGUGAAAUCUCCGGGCUUAACCCGGAAAGGUCAGCCGAUACUGCGGGGCUAGAGUGCAGAAGGGGCAACUGGAAUUCUCGGUGUAGCGGUGAAAUGCGUAGAUAUCGAGAGGAACACCUGCGGCGAAGGCGGCAUCCUGGACCAACACUGACACUGAGGAGCGAAAGCCAGGGGAGCAAACGGG